Molecule: ribosomal RNA, 588 nt
Filed under: Triticum aestivum (bread wheat)
Lineage: Eukaryota; Viridiplantae; Streptophyta; Magnoliopsida; Poales; Poaceae
Description: partial small subunit ribosomal RNA
Source: RNAcentral
AUGGCUGAAUGCUUCAAUAGGGUGCUCAAAGGUGAACGUGGAUUACCCGUGACGGCAAUAGUUCAAUACACAUUUGACAAGAUGAAUGCGUACUUUGUAAAGUACUCGAUGGAAACCGAUGCACAGAUAGCGGGUGAGAACCCACGGAAGUACAAGUACAAGUUCCCACCCAAAGUUGAUGAAUGGUUGGUAUUUCAAUCACGGAAGUCGGACUCAGAAGAAGCUAUAUUAUAUGACAACGAAGAGUGGAAGUACGAAGUGAAAGAGCCAGGAGGAACCACAAACGAUGGCCGGCAACAUGGAGGUCGGGCUUUCAAGGUGUCGUUAACACAAUGUGAUUGCACUUGCGGGAGGCCAUUGUUGCUUCAUCUCCCAUGCUCACACUUGUAUACCGCCGGUCGCGUUAGGAAUGUGGACAUCAAUCACCCACGCACCGUGAGGGAGUCGGAAUUCUCAAUCAUGACGGUCAAGAAAACAUGGGCUCCCCGCUUUCACCCAUACUUUGACCAAUCACAAUGGCCGAAGUAUCAUGGAGUUCAACACUACAAAAAAAUACACUUCCGUGAUGAUACGUGUUUGUCACAGUAG